This 1837-nucleotide long non-coding RNA is filed under the name Pan troglodytes (chimpanzee). Its description in RNAcentral is "long non-coding RNA NONPTRT016757". The record is from RNAcentral. Lineage: Eukaryota; Metazoa; Chordata; Mammalia; Primates; Hominidae.
UUUAAACAGAAACCUUCCCCUUUAUUUAUUGAUGGACUGUCUAGAGAUUGCUACUCUUUUCUUCUUCUGUUUCUUCACGAGAUAUUUUCUAAACUGUGUCUUGCUUCAACUAACCCUUAUGGCUUUUUUGACAAUUCUAGCAUAAAUCCAGCACCUACUCGCGCCAGUCUUCUAAACACUGGCAACUUUAAUCAAUCCGAAUUUUGGUUAUGUCAACAUAUUGGUAUACAGAAGAAGCUAACUAGUUUUUGUUUCUGCCAAUGCAAACACCUGGUGGACACAGACUGGACUAUGGAUGUACAAAAGGGUAUGGUAUCUACAAACAGGAAGACAAAAAUCAUGCCACCUCUCUUUCUGGUAAACUGAUUUGGUGCUUGGAAAAUUCCCUGGAAGCUCAAGUUCUAUUCUUUGUUCAGGUGAUGUUAUUGAAUGGACAAAUUUCCCUUUUCAUUGGAAACAGAAAUGGUACUGGACCCUUUCUAGAUCUCUUGCCUCACAGCUUCUAACCCAAAUCUUAUUUCUACAGCAACCAACACAGCUUCUCGUUUGUAAAACUUCUCAAGAUGUUUCAAAAUGGAAGAAAUGCCGAAACCCCCAAAGAAUCCUUGAGUUGGUAUGGUUGUUUUUAGUUGAAGACAUUUGAGAUUCCACAGAUGCAGAAAAGAAUCUUCUCAGAGCUUCCUUCUUCUGAUUAAAAGCAGCCACUUCUGGGAAAUAAGGCUGGCAUAAAUCCUCUCUUGAGAGUGGCUUUACUCCCAGAAACAAGACCAAGGGUAAAUCUACCAUAAAUCCCCUCUCCAGGGGAGUUUGAUGGCCAUAAAGAAGAUGAAAAGAGUGCUCACACCUGCAUAAACAAAUGUUAUCACAAACUUUCUUAUCUCUUGUUUGUUCUCCCAAAAAACUAUUUGUCUUUCCUAAAGAAAUCCAUUUGUUUUCCUUAUAGAAGUCUUUUCUCCCGGCUUGCUUCUCCUAUUAAGUUAGAUAUAUAAACUUCUAAUUUAACCUUUUAGGAAACUACUUCUUUUGUAAGCUCUUGUAUGCAAAUGAACUGUUUUAUUCUCUUGUUAAUGUGUAUUUUCACAGCAUAUCCUCCACCCAGAUCCUGAAUUUGAGAGGGUAGAGGAAAAGUUUUCCUCUCCAACACUUUCGUUCUCUGUCAAUGGCUUCACUGGAUUGCUAGUCUUCCUAUUAAAAGCGGCAAUUUAUUCUUCCAAAGUUAGUUUCUAAAUAAUAUUCCAUAGAAUUUUCUUUUUAAAUAACCAGGUAAUACCUACGUUGACAUCAAGAGAGCACCAUGGUCAGUAAUUUUAAUACCCCAGGAACAUACUUUUAAAUAUACAUUGUUUUUCAACCAAUAUUGGAAAGGGAAAGUUCCAAACCAUACUAAUUGGACCUACAUUGAACAUGGUAAAUUCCUCCUCAAAUAGUUGCUAAUGGUUUGCUGGGACAGUACUUCCCAUCUGUAAUAACUCUUAAAAUUAAAUUACUAAUAUCUUUGGAUUUCUGGAUCAUCUUUUACUUAAUAUCCAAAAAUAAAUUGUGAGGUUUUUUAAAUGCCUGGGUAAAAUUCUGAAAUAGUAGUUUAUUUCAAUUUUGAUAGCUGCUGAGAUUCACACUAGCUUUUCUUCAGUCGACAAAGUAAACAAUAAAACUUCAGCAAAACUGGAAAAUAUAAGAACCCCCAAUAUAUAGUCCCCCAAAGGAUCCAGCAGGUUAUAGAGUCCAAAGCCCUUAUUUUAUAAAUGAGUAAACUGAAGACAAAAGCACCAAUGUAGUUGCUUGAAGGUUAUAAAAUGGCAGGGAUACAUGUAUGUGUAUAUAUAUAUAUAGCUCCUUA